This 101-nucleotide non-coding RNA is filed under the name Tersicoccus phoenicis. Its description in RNAcentral is "Glycine sequence". It matches the Rfam family "Glycine riboswitch aptamer". From Rfam's summary of the family: This family represents the bacterial glycine riboswitch. Glycine riboswitches usually consist of two metabolite-binding aptamers domains with similar structures in tandem. The aptamers cooperatively bind glycine to regulate the expression of downstream genes. Lineage: Bacteria; Bacillati; Actinomycetota; Actinomycetes; Micrococcales; Micrococcaceae. The record is from Rfam by way of RNAcentral.
UGCGCCGUGGCGGGAGAGUCCCGCCAGCCAUCGCUGAGCGGGCGCCGAAGGAGCAACUCCUCCCCAGGAAUCUCUCAGGCACCCGGUACCGCCGCGGCAAG